GGGCCCGCACAAGCGGUGGAGCAUGUGGUUUAAUUCGACGCAACGCGCAGAACCUUACCAGGCCUUGACAUCCCGUGCUAAGCCCAGAGAUGGGUGGUCCCCGCAAGGGGCGCGGAGACAGGUGCUGCAUGGCUGUCGUCAGCUCGUGUCGUGAGAUGUUGGGUUAAGUCCCGCAACGAGCGCAACCCUCGCCUUUAGUUGCCAUCAUUUGGUUGGGCACUCUAAAGGGACCGCCGGCGACAAGCCGGAGGAAGGUGGGGAUGACGUCAAGUCCUCAUGGCCCUUACGGCCUGGGCUACACACGUGCUACAAUGGCGGUGACAGUGGGCAGCGACCACGCGAGUGGAUGCGAAUCCCAAAAAACCGUCCCAGUUCAGAUUGCACUCUGCAACUCGGGUGCAUGAAGGUGGAAUCGCUAGUAAUCGCAGAACAGCAGGCUGCGGUGAAUACGUUCCCGGGCCUU
Molecule: ribosomal RNA, 463 nt
Filed under: uncultured bacterium
Lineage: Bacteria
Description: bacterial SSU rRNA
Rfam family: Bacterial small subunit ribosomal RNA
Source: RNAcentral